ACGAACGCUGGCGGCGUGCCUAAUACAUGCAAGUCGAACGCUUCUUUCCUCCCGAGUGCUUGCACUCAAUUGGAAAGAGGAGUGGCGGACGGGUGAGUAACACGUGGGUAACCUACCCAUCAGAGGGGGAUAACACUUGGAAACAGGUGCUAAUACCGCAUAACAGUUUAUGCCGCAUGGCAUAAGAGUGAAAGGCGCUUUCGGGUGUCGUUGAUGGAUGGACCCGCGGUGCAUUAGCUAGUUGGUGAGGUAACGGCUCACCAAGGCCACGAUGCAUAGCCGACCUGAGAGGGUGAUCGGCCACACUGGGACUGAGACACGGCCCAGACUCCUACGGGAGGCAGCAGUAGGGAAUCUUCGGCAAUGGACGAAAGUCUGACCGAGCAACGCCGCGUGAGUGAAGAAGGUGUUCGGAUCGUAAAACUCUGUUGUUAGAGAAGAACAAGGUCGUUAGUAACUGAACGUCCCCUGACGGUAUCUAACCAGAAAGCCACGGCUAACUACGUG
This 507-nucleotide ribosomal RNA is filed under the name uncultured bacterium. RNAcentral's name for it is "partial 16S ribosomal RNA". It matches the Rfam family "Bacterial small subunit ribosomal RNA", at positions 29 to 507 of the family's 1533-position model. The record is from RNAcentral.